Molecule: long non-coding RNA, 858 nt
Organism: Hevea brasiliensis (rubber tree)
Lineage: Eukaryota; Viridiplantae; Streptophyta; Magnoliopsida; Malpighiales; Euphorbiaceae
Exons: 2
Source: RefSeq, a predicted model, not a curated record
UACCAACUAAAAAGGGAGAUAAGUACUCUAUCACAGUCAAAUGCUUCUGUUAUGGUAUAUUUUACUAAAUUAAAGAAAUUAUGGGAUGAGUUAGCUUGUCUCAAACCACUGCUAGUGUGUAAAUGUGGAGCAUCUAAAAAAAUGGAUGAUAUUAACAGUGAACAUAAGCUUAUUUAAUUUCUAAUGGGGUUAAAUGAAACAUAUGACAAUGUUAGAAACCAGAUUCUUUUAAUGAACCCCUUGCCUAGUGUUAACAGGGCAUACUCAAUGGUGUUGUAGGUGGAGAAACGAAAGGAAAUCCAUGAUGAUUUUGUUGAUGAGCUCAACUCUAUCAUGACUGUCAAAGGGCAAUACCAGAAAGAUAAACUUUAGAAUAAGAAAAAGGGUUAUGGCAAGAAGGAAGGGAAAUUUUGUGAUCACUACAAUACUAAUGGCCAUACCAGAGAUUCAUGCUUUAAACCCCAUGGUUAACUCAAACAAAAGAAAGGCAAAGGCAAGGCACCACUAGCAACUAAUGUGUUUGAGAAAGUACCUAAAGGAGAUGGCAAAGCAGAUUAUAAGAGUUAACUAGCUGGAAUUGACUAAGCCAGCAUGAUACAGUAGGAGAUUGCAAAGUUCAUGCAAACCAGAAUCCUACAAUGAAUGAGGCAAGCUGUGUCAACUUCACUGGUUUUGCAGGACCAAGUGACUAAGGAAGUGGUGGCAAGAGGUAAGAUGCUGGGGGGGACUAUACAUUAUAAGCAAUAGGUCUUUUAAAAAUAAGUGUAGUCAUGAAGUUUUUGAUGAUGUACCUGCUUCAAAAUCCUAUUGUACUGCAUAUAAAAUGAAUGAAGUUAAUCUUUCUCCAAAUUCUUAUGA